This 511-nucleotide ribosomal RNA is filed under the name uncultured bacterium. Its description in RNAcentral is "partial 16S ribosomal RNA". It matches the Rfam family "Bacterial small subunit ribosomal RNA", at positions 30 to 523 of the family's 1533-position model. The record is from RNAcentral.
AUUGAACGCUGGCGGCAUGCCUAACACAUGCAAGUCGAACGGCAGCACAAUAAAGAUUUCGGUCUUUAUGGGUGGCGAGUGGCGGACGGGUGAGUAACGCGUAGGAAUCUGUCCUGGAGAGUGGGAUAACCCGAGGAAACUCGGGCUAAUACUGCAUGACAUUGAGAGAUCAAAAGCAGGGGACCGAAAGGCCUUGCGCUCUGGGGUGAGCCUACGUCGGAUUAGCUAGUUGGUGGGGUAAAGGCCUACCAAGGCGACGAUCCGUAGCUGGUCUGAGAGGAUGACCAGCCACACGGGGACUGGGACACGGCCCAGACUCCUACGGGAGGCAGCAGUGGGGAAUCUUGGACAAUGGGGGAAACCCUGAUCCAGCGAUGCCGCGUGUGUGAAGAAGGCCUUCGGGUUGUAAAGCACUUUAGGUGGGGAAGAAAGGUAGCGAGUGAAUAACUUUCUGCUGUGACGGUACCCACAGAAUAAGCACCGGCUAACUCUGUGCCAGCAGCCGCCAUAA